Long non-coding RNA from Pistacia vera, 646 nucleotides. RefSeq lists it as uncharacterized. The transcript is spliced from 3 exons. The record is from RefSeq and is a predicted model, not a curated record. NCBI's taxonomy places the organism in Eukaryota, Viridiplantae, Streptophyta, Magnoliopsida, Sapindales, Anacardiaceae.
UUUCUUUACACCUUUUCAAACUUUCUCCUCCAGCAGCUCUUUUGCUCCCAAGAUCUCCAACGGCUCUUUCUGAUCUUUGGGUUUUUUAAUCCCAAGAUCUUUGGGUUUUUUACAAUUCUGGUACUGACAGCUACCCCUUCACUGCAAUAUCUACGACAGUCCAAGCAAUGGACAGAUUUUGAACGCCGAUUCUGGGUGAAGCUGUUGUGCGCGUCUGAAGAUGGCGAAUGUUGUGGGCGGUUCUUUUGGUGAUGCCCAGAAAUAUGUGUUUGAUUUAGGGUAAUUUGCGGGGACUUGACUUUUGAAGAAGAUGCAACUGGGUAAGUUAAGAAUUGUGGAAGAUGCAAGUGGGUAAGUUAAUGCACUCACAAUAUAACAGAAUAAUUCUAUCAAUUAAUAAAAAUAAAAAACGGAAUAAUUCUUCAACUAAAUAAAUUGAUAGAAAAGAAUUCGUUCUUUACUUCUAUUUAUUAGUAAACCAUGUUUUUCCUCUGUUUUCUCUGCACUCUUUCAAACUUUCUCCUCAGCCUCCAACUACUUUUUCUGAUCUUUGGGUUUUUUAGUUUUAUUUUGGAAGGUUAAGAGUUGUUCAGUUUCGUAUUUAGGGUUUUGGCUUUGUUAUAUAAUUUUUUUUACAAUGAACUAA